CUGUUCCCGCCUAUUUCUCUAACCAAAAAUUUAGACUUGUUCUUGUUAUCUAUGCUUAGGCCUAUCUUUGUUUUUUGUGAAUUAGUUGUCUUUUUAUUUCACUAGUUUAAAUUGUAUAAAAUGAGUAAUCAUUUUGAAAAUCUUCGUGAACUAGGAAAAAGGAUUGAUGAAGGUAUUGAACAUCUUGAAAAUAAACUUGCUAAUCCAUAUAGUCUGGGAGUAGUCACUUCAAAAUCAGCAGCAUUAUGUGAGAAAACAAUUGAGAAGUUGGAAAAUGAAAUGAAAGAUCUGCUGGAGAACAUCGAACCAUUCAUCAAAGAGGAAACAGAAGAUUUAGAAGAAAUACAAGGCGACAUUGACGCUGUGAAUGAUUUUAUGAAGAAAUUAAUUGAUAAUAUCAAUGUUAUGGAAUCCAGGUUGAGGAAUAAACCAGACUACGUUCCUUUUUCAAUGCCUAUUCAGGACAACUUUUCACCUGUAUCACCUGUAAACUCUGUGAUCGAUGACUGCUCAGUGGCCAACACUUCGAUCUUGAAAGAUCUCACCAACAGCGAAAAUCUCAUCGGAAACGAAUCACCGAACUUGUUGGUGUCUCCCAACUACAUCAGCACGCCAGAGCCGGGCUCCAGUUGCCGCCGGUUCUCCACCUCGUCGCGGAAGCCGACCAACCUCACACCGUUCCAAAAGAUCUGGCAGAAACACAACCAGUCACCUGACAUCAGCCAUCUCAGUGAGAACAUGUCUCGGCUCGACACUCCCGGCAAUCUCAGCAGAAACUCCAACAGGUCGUUUCUAAGAAAUCAACCUCAACUUCCGAAAGUUCCCGCUAUGCAUAACGGUGGACUCAAAAAGAAAGAGAUUAUCGAGUCCCCUAAAGAGCCUGAAUGUUCGUUUCAAGUUUUUCGUCGUCCACAUUACCAGAGAAACUACAAUUACAAUUGAGAGGUACUACAAUUAUUAUAAAUACUUGUGUUGUUUUGUCUGUAUUGCUCACAAUCAUCCUUACUACCCAAUUUGUUGGUCAUAUUCUCAGUUAUUUUAAUAUAAAUCGGAUCAGCUGGUGGUUUAAACUCUAAGGGCCGUUUGCACAGUCACAGUUUAAACUAAAUUUUAUUUUAAACUGGAUUAAAUCCGUAUCAAGUCUUGUUUGUUAUAAUAUGAUUCAUUUUGAGUUUAAACCACCAGCUGAUUAAAUCCAGUUUCAGCUUUGACUGUGCAAACUGCCCUUAAUGGAACUAUGGAAUAAUGAAAGUAUCCUCUCUCCCUAGAAUGAAACAAAUUAUGAUUGAUGGAUGUGACCGUUGACCAUAGCUUAAUGAUCCAUAGCUUUAAACUUUCAACUAAGCUUUCUACUAACUUCACUGCGCAUCCAAGUACUCUUUGAUGAUGAUAAGAAUAUUGCUUAUCCAUAUGUACACAUUUCUGAUUCUAUGUUAUGUUUUCUUGUAAUUAAUUUUUAUUGUACUCAAUAUUUAUGUUAUUUUCUACCACUUACCAUAUUAUAAUAGUCUUUGAGAUGUCGGUAUAUAAUUUAUGCGUGAUGCAUGUAUAAAAUUAGUUUGUUGAAAUGAUAAUUUGUUGUAAAUUAAGUUUUAGAUUGGUAACUUGGAGUCACUGGAAUUUAGCGGUAUACACAUUCAUCUAUUGCCUCAGUCAUGAGUCAAAACUCCAUUAGUUCCUAAGUGCCAUCCCAAUAUAAAAAAAUUUCUGUCGCAAACUUCUCAUAAAAUUAUAUUUAUCAUCUAUCGAUGCUCAUUUGUAGCUCUUAUCUGUCAACCUUUUUCUUUCUGUUGUCGAAAUAAUCCUAUUAUUAUUCAAAACAAUAAUGCAUUAUGUUUAAGUGAUCCUGAAAUAUAAGUGGGACACUUCUUGGUUGCUUGAAUUAAAAUAUUAAAAUAGCAUCUGAAUGACAGUGAAUCACUUGAUUAAUCGCACCAGAAAAAUCAACUCAUUAUAGGAAGUUGAGAAAUUAGUAGUCUGAAGAGUUAAAAUAUAAAAAUUCACUUUAAAUUUAAUAAAUUGGAGGAAUCUACUAUUUGCAACAUUCAAGUUUAUAAGUUACUUAGACAAGGAAAUGUUUCAGGUGGGUUGCCAUCUUCAGGUAGGCUAUAUAUUAAAAAAAAUCCUGAAGAUUCCUGCAACCCAGUCGAAAAUCUCGUUGUUCAAGUAACUUAUAAAUUUGGAAGUUUCAAAACAUAGCCUGCAAGUUUAAUUUAUUAAAUUCCAAGUGCAUUAAUAACCACAGUCCGUGAUAGAAUCCAAAAUUGAUAGAUAAAUAAAUUUGAUGAGCAAGUAUAGUGACGUAGGUAAGGAGUGGUUGAAAAAAUCGAAUUAGAAUAUUAACUGCCUGUUGCACAAAAUCCAUUUAAAUCGUGAUUUAAUUCACGAGAACCAUUUAGAGAAGCCUUCUCUGAUUUUUUUAAACCGGCUUUUGUGCGACUGGACCAAUAUCUUAAUCUCUUAUUUAAAAUGUGACUAAAGAUAAUAAUAAAGCGACUGAGAUUAGAAAAAAAUCAUAAAUGCCUUGUAUCAAUUUAUAUUUGUUAUUAUUGUUGUAUUCAAAUUAUUGUAUUUAAUAAUCCAUAAUAUUAAUUCUAAAGAUUUGUUCUUCUAUCAGUCUAAUAAAACAUUUACAGUAUAUAUUUUGAAAAUAAAUUGUUUACUCUUUA
RNAcentral lists this unclassified non-coding RNA (2669 nucleotides) under Nilaparvata lugens (brown planthopper). Its description in RNAcentral is "uncharacterized LOC111064296, transcript variant X1". The record is from RNAcentral. Lineage: Eukaryota; Metazoa; Arthropoda; Insecta; Hemiptera; Delphacidae.